Meriones unguiculatus (Mongolian gerbil) is the source of this 2392-nucleotide long non-coding RNA. RefSeq lists it as uncharacterized. The record is from RefSeq and is a predicted model, not a curated record. Lineage: Eukaryota; Metazoa; Chordata; Mammalia; Rodentia; Muridae. The transcript is spliced from 6 exons.
CGGCUAGGAGAGGAAAGGGUCCCAGAAAGGCACACGAAGAGGCUGGGCAGAGCUUUCCCUUGCCUUUCAGCCUUUGCCAUUUUUUUUUCAGAUGGCAAAGAUGGUCAGACAGGCCAGACAAACAGUGUCAUUCCCGCGGAGCCUCGCGCUGUGAGUCAGGGGAGGGAACAGGUCUGUUUGCUCACACAGACAGCAGGUCCAAGCGCCUAGCCGCAAGCACCCAGGCUUCAGCGCUCAACCUCAGAAACUCAGACCGAGAAACCCGGCCCCGAGUGUUUGGCCUCAACAACCCAGCCGACUCCCAUUUCGCGGCUGCAAGCACCAGCGCAGCUGCUGUAACGCCCUGUCGGGGCGGCGGGGGCGGGGAGGAGGGCCGGGCAGGACACAGGACUCGGAGGUCCUUUAUCGGAACGGACACAAGCGGUCCCGGAGGAAAGCCUGGCCGCAGUCGUUCCUGCAGGAUCUGUUUACUGGUCCCUGUAGCUCUCACCAAGGAAAUGCCAGUCCAGCCAUGCAAAUAGCCACGCAGCCCAAAGCCUGGACGGCUUCACCUGCCUUUCUUUGUUCUUGAACACACACGGUUUGUUUGCCCAGGGUUGUGUCUUGCCUCAUUGGCUCCUAACACACCCACGGAGAAGCUGAGGUCCCCAACAAGGACGGUGUGCUCUGCUGGAGCCUUCCCUGAGCAAAGAGCAGGGGACGGCCACUCCACAUGGGAAAGUCUGUGUGUGCUUGGGCCUGUCUCCUCACUGUCUAGCUCCUGUGGGGGUCAGAGUUCAGCUGACAGAAGUUCUGGGUUUUUAUUUUCCUUUCGUUUCUUUUUUUAAUAAUAAUAAUUUAUUUGUUUUUAUUUUAUGUGCAUUGGCGUUCUGCCUGCAUGUACGACCGGGUGAGGGUGUCAGAUCCUGGAGUUACAAAGAGUGGUGAGCUGCCAUGUGGGUGCUGGGACUCGAACCUGGGUGCUCUAGAAGAGCAGUCAGUGCUCUUAACCGCUGAGCCUGAGCCACAUCUCUACCCCCUCCUUCCCCACACACACACCCAUUUUCUCCUUCUAUUGUGUAAGGCCUGAGGAUGGAACUCAGGUCAUCAGUCUUGGCAACAGGUGUCCUUAUCCACUGGGCCAUCCUACCUGCCUCAGCAGAAACUCUUGAAGAGCCAAUGGGGCUCAGCUUUCUGCACCCACAGCUGCCAGAAGCACCCCAGGUUCUGACCCACAGAAAGAGGAGAGUGUCCUCACUGAGCCGCAAGUCCAUUCUCUCCAAACCUCCCGCUCCAAGCUGUGCCUCCUGCAGUCUUCUCUUAAGGUGAAGGUGUCUUGGGGCAGACAGAGGCCCAGGCCACGUACCUUUCCAAAGCCACGUUUCUCACUGCCACGGCACCCUCCACAUUUUUCUGUACCUGGAAUAACUUGGGAGCGUCGAAAAGAAUGGUUCAUGUGUCUGUCUACAGAAGUUGCUGUCUCAGUGACCUCGGGAACAGCGUGGGCUUUGGACUUUCGAGCGAGGCAAGCCAAGCAGCUCUCCAGUGCUGGGGAAGAACCCCAGAGAAUAUGAGCUUAUUCUACUCAUGGAGAACAGCCCCGUGUGACAUCGUGGUCUGCCAUUCCAGGGUGGGGAGGCAAACAGAGAAGCCCGGGGCUUGAUGGCCACCCACCAGGGCUAGCCAGGUUCCGUGAGAGAGCCUGUCUCAAGCCCGAAGCCCAAACUUAGGGUUAAAGUUACUGCCGGAGCAGGAGACCUUGGGCCUGGUCGCCUUCACUUUGUCACUCCGAACAAGAGUCCUGCCCUCCGGACUUGUAUGCUUGUCUGUACUUGGUUGAUUGACAGGAUGCGUCAAGCUCCCAGAAUCCCAACGACUGGAAGGCAGGAGGCUGUGGGGAGAGUUUGAGACUCCAGAGGUGGAGGCAGGAGGAUCAGAAGUUCAAAGUCACCCAGGGCUACACAGCAAAUUCAAGGCCAGCUGGGAAACACCAGGCCCUGUCAAACAAGCAGAAAGAAAGACCCCUUCGCUCCGUUUGCAUAUGCUCCUCUCUUCUGGGACGCUGUUCCCUGCUCCACCCCUUUGCCUUUCUCCAAGCUCCUUUCUUACCCUGGAUCGCCGCUGGGGGACAGGGUAUGGCUCCCUGGUCAUCUGAGGAUGAGGAAGUGACUCAGCCUUCCCUGUCUUUGCAUCCUUCCCUCUGGCCGCCCUGAACUUGCAGCUCCUUGAAAAGGCCUGGGUUUCCCUGUAUGGCCCUGGGUAUCCUGGAACUCUGUAGACCACCAGGCUGUCAGGAAAUUCACAGAGAUCAGCCUCUGCCUCCUGAGUGCUGGAUUAAUGGAUGAACCCUCCUGCUGUUGUUGUUGCUUUUACAUCUUUUUUUUUUUUUAAUAAAUAAGAUUUUUUAUAUGUA